Molecule: unclassified non-coding RNA, 277 nt
Filed under: Candelaria sp.
Lineage: Eukaryota; Fungi; Ascomycota; Candelariomycetes; Candelariales; Candelariaceae
Description: partial contains 5.8S ribosomal RNA, internal transcribed spacer 2, and large subunit ribosomal RNA
Source: RNAcentral
AACGCACCUUGCGCUCCCGGGACAUUCCUGGGAGCAUGCUUGUUUGAGUGUCGCGUACCUCUCAACCCCGCCCUUUCCGGAGGGUGGUCGGGUUGGAUCAUGACGCUUUGCCUCCACUGCGAGGCUGCGUUGAAAUGCAACAAGCUGCAUCCCGUCGCUGGCGGCUUGACCCGUUGUCGUAAAUGAACUCAACGGGGACGCCAGUGGGAACGAGCUUACCAGAACCACAUUUUUACACUUUGACCUCAAAUCAAGUAGAACUACCCGCUGAACUUAA